GCGGAGGGUCAUUACUUUCAUAUGAAGGCGGGCUGGAACCUCUCGGGGUUACAGCCUUGCUGAAUUAUUCACCCUUGUCUUUUGCGUACUUCUUGUUUCCUUGGUGGGUUCGCCCACCACUAGGACAAACAUAAACCUUUUGUAAUUGCAAUCAGCGUCAGUAACAAAUUAAUAAUUACAACUUUCAACAACGGAUCUCUUGGUUCUGGCAUCGAUGAAGAACGCAGCGAAAUGCGAUAAGUAGUGUGAAUUGCAGAAUUCAGUGAAUCAUCGAAUCUUUGAACGCACAUUGCGCCCUUUGGUAUUCCAAAGGGCAUGCCUGUUCGAGCGUCAUUUGUACCCUCAAGCUUUGCUUGGUGUUGGGCGUCUUGUCUCUAGCUUUGCUGGAGACUCGCCUUAAAGUAAUUGGCAGCCGGCCUACUGGUUUCGGAGCGCAGCACAAGUCGCACUCUCUAUCAGCAAAGGUCUAGCAUCCAUUAAGCCUUUUUUUCAACUUUUGACCUCGGAUCAGGUAGGGAUACCCGCUGAACUUAAGCAUAUCAU
RNAcentral lists this ribosomal RNA (543 nucleotides) under fungal sp. Art15. Its description in RNAcentral is "eukaryotic LSU rRNA". The stretch from base 180 to 333 matches the Rfam family "5.8S ribosomal RNA". The record is from RNAcentral. Lineage: Eukaryota; Fungi.